This 106-nucleotide non-coding RNA is filed under the name Paenibacillus stellifer. RNAcentral's name for it is "TPP sequence". It matches the Rfam family "TPP riboswitch aptamer (THI element)". From Rfam's summary of the family: Vitamin B(1) in its active form thiamin pyrophosphate (TPP) is an essential coenzyme that is synthesised by coupling of pyrimidine and thiazole moieties in bacteria. The previously detected thiamin-regulatory element, thi box was extended, resulting in a new, highly conserved RNA secondary structure, the THI element, which is widely distributed in eubacteria and also occurs in some archaea. Lineage: Bacteria; Bacillati; Bacillota; Bacilli; Caryophanales; Paenibacillaceae. The record is from Rfam by way of RNAcentral.
GCAUUUCACUAGGGGAGUCAAUUGGACUGAGACGAAAGCCCGCGCUUUUAGACCCUUGGAACCUGAUCUGGAUUAUACCAGCGGAGGGAAGUGAACGUCAGGACCU